UAUCUCUGUAGAGUCUGCAUAUCAAUAAGCGGAGGAAAAGAAACUAACAAGGAUUCCCUUAGUAACGGCGAGUGAAGCGGGAAGAGCUCAAAUUUGAAAUCUUCAAGGUUCUACCUUGACGAAUUGUAGUUUAAAGAAGUGUUUUCUGUUAGAUGAGUAGCAAAAGUUCCUUGGAAUGGGACAUCAUAGAGGGUGAGAAUCCCGUAUUUGGUUAUUCAUUCUAGCUUUGUGAUACACUUUCAAAGAGUCGGAUUGUUUGGGAAUGCAGUCCAAAAUGGGUGGUAAAUUUCAUCUAAAGCUAAAUAUUGGCGAGAGACCGAUAGCGAACAAGUACCGUGAGGGAAAGAUGAAAAGAACUUUGAAAAGAGAGUUAAACAGUACGUGAAAUUGUCAAAAGGGAAGCGUUUGACACCAGUGUUGUUUUUUCCGAAAAUCAAUUACGAAUGGCUUGAUUUUGUGUUGUAUUGACCUUAUCAGCUUUCUUCACUUUUUUUCGAGUCCUUUCUUAAUGCACUUUUCGGUUAACAAGUCAACAUCAAUUUCUUUUGUUGUAAAAGAGUAUUCGGAAGGUGGACUUUCUUUUCGGAGAAAGUGUUUAUAGCCCUAUACUUACUACAAUCGGAGAGAUUGAGGUCUGCAGCGUAGAUCCUUCGGGGUUAGAUACACUUUGUGCUAAGUUGUAGCUUUUCAUAGACAACUUGUUGACUAUGUUUAGUCAUGCGGCUUACUCGCUUAUGCUAUUUUACCUACGCUUAGGAUGUUGACUGAUAUGUAGUCGU
This 779-nucleotide ribosomal RNA is filed under the name uncultured Neocallimastigales. Its description in RNAcentral is "partial large subunit ribosomal RNA". It matches the Rfam family "Eukaryotic large subunit ribosomal RNA", at positions 24 to 643 of the family's 3401-position model. The record is from RNAcentral. Lineage: Eukaryota; Fungi; Neocallimastigomycota; Neocallimastigomycetes; Neocallimastigales.